GAUGAACGCUGGCGGCGUGCCUAAUACAUGCAAGUCGAGCGAACGGACGAGAAGCUUGCUUCUCUGAUGUUAGCGGCGGACGGGUGAGUAACACGUGGAUAACCUACCUAUAAGACUGGGAUAACUUCGGGAAACCGGAGCUAAUACCGGAUAAUAUUUUGAACCGCAUGGUUCAAAAGUGAAAGACGGUCUUGCUGUCACUUAUAGAUGGAUCCGCGCUGCAUUAGCUAGUUGGUAAGGUAACGGCUUACCAAGGCAACGAUGCAUAGCCGACCUGAGAGGGUGAUCGGCCACACUGGAACUGAGACACGGUCCAGACUCCUACGGGAGGCAGCAGUAGGGAAUCUUCCGCAAUGGGUGAAAGCCUGACGGAGCAACGCCGCGUGAGUGAUGAAGGUCUUCGGAUCGUAAAACUCUGUUAUUAGGGAAGAACAUAUGUGUAAGUAACUGUGCACAUCUUGACGGUACCUAAUCAGAAAGCCACGGCUAACUACGUGCCAGCAGCCGCGGUAAUACGUAGGUGGCAAGCGUUAUCCGGAAUUAUUGGGCGUAAAGCGCGCGUAGGCGGUUUUUUAAGUCUGAUGUGAAAGCCCACGGCUCAACCGUGGAGGGUCAUUGGAAACUGGAAAACUUGAGUGCAGAAGAGGAAAGUGGAACUCCAUGUGUAGCGGUGAAAUGCGCAGAGAUAUGGAGGAACACCAGUGGCGAAGGCGACUUUCUGGUCUGUAACUGACGCUGAUGUGCGAAAGCGUGGGGAUCAAACAGGAUUAGAUACCCUGGUAGUCCACGCCGUAAACGAUGAGUGCUAAGUGUUAGGGGGUUUCCGCCCCUUAGUGCUGCAGCUAACGCAUUAAGCACUCCGCCUGGGGAGUACGACCGCAAGGUUGAAACUCAAAGGAAUUGACGGGGACCCGCACAAGCGGUGGAGCAUGUGGUUUAAUUCGAAGCAACGCGAAGAACCUUACCAAAUCUUGACAUCCUUUGACAACUCUAGAGAUAGAGCCUUCCCCUUCGGGGGACAAAGUGACAGGUGGUGCAUGGUUGUCGUCAGCUCGUGUCGUGAGAUGUUGGGUUAAGUCCCGCAACGAGCGCAACCCUUAAGCUUAGUUGCCAUCAUUAAGUUGGGCACUCUAAGUUGACUGCCGGUGACAAACCGGAGGAAGGUGGGGAUGACGUCAAAUCAUCAUGCCCCUUAUGAUUUGGGCUACACACGUGCUACAAUGGACAAUACAAAGGGCAGCGAAACCGCGAGGUCAAGCAAAUCCCAUAAAGUUGUUCUCAGUUCGGAUUGUAGUCUGCAACUCGACUACAUGAAGCUGGAAUCGCUAGUAAUCGUAGAUCAGCAUGCUACGGUGAAUACGUUCCCGGGUCU
RNAcentral lists this ribosomal RNA (1372 nucleotides) under uncultured bacterium. Its description in RNAcentral is "bacterial SSU rRNA". It matches the Rfam family "Bacterial small subunit ribosomal RNA", at positions 28 to 1381 of the family's 1533-position model. The record is from RNAcentral.